UGGGAAUUUUCCGCAAUGGGCGAAAGCCUGACGGAGCAAUGCCGCGUGGAGGUGGAAGGCCUACGGGUCGUCAACUUCUUUUCUCGGAGAAGAAACAAUGACGGUAUCUGAGGAAUAAGCAUCGGCUAACUCUGUGCUAG
RNAcentral lists this ribosomal RNA (140 nucleotides) under uncultured bacterium. RNAcentral's name for it is "partial 16S rRNA". It matches the Rfam family "Bacterial small subunit ribosomal RNA", at positions 356 to 511 of the family's 1533-position model. The record is from RNAcentral.